CUCGUAGGUGGCCAACUAAGUCAGACGUGAAAUCCCCAGGCUCAACCUGGGAACUGCGUCUGAUACUGGAUGGCUUGAAUUCGGGAGAGGGAUGCAGAAUUCCAGGUGUAGCGGUGAAAUGCGUAGAUAUCUGGAGGAAUACCGGUGGCGAAGGCGGCAUCCUGGACCGAGAUUGACACUGAUGAGCGAAAGCUAGGGGAGCAAACG
RNAcentral lists this ribosomal RNA (207 nucleotides) under uncultured bacterium. RNAcentral's name for it is "partial 16S ribosomal RNA". It matches the Rfam family "Bacterial small subunit ribosomal RNA", at positions 568 to 774 of the family's 1533-position model. The record is from RNAcentral.